CACGGCGGAUUACCGUAACGUCUGCGGGAUGUGGGUGCCCAGGGUGUUCGCCAACCCCCUGCACGUGUGUCGGGACGUGUGGACGCGGUGCGAGGGAGAAGGGGAUGGGUUUUUGGGGCGCAUCAUCACCGUGGAUGCGCCCUCCAACAGCGAGAAUCACUCGGAUGGGGAGGGGCCGCCCCCGAAGUGGAGCAGGAAAGGGGCGGAGGCGUAGAGCUGGCCCUGAAAAUGCGCCCUGGAAGGAGGAGGAGGGACAGGAGCGUGCCCAAAUGACCCCCAAACUGCCCCCCCCAAGGAGAAAACAGGGCACAGUGCCACCUGAAGUGCAGCGGGCUGCUCCUGAGGGCAGGAAACUGGACAAAACGGACCCUGAACUGCUCCUAGGAGCAUCAGGCUGCUCCUAAACUGCAUCAGACUGGACUUAAAUCGCCCCCAAAAGGCCCCAGAACUACUCCCAAGAGUGGGAAAUGGGACAGAACUGCACAAGACUGACGUCAUCUGGGGACAUCAACCCCGAAAACUGCCCCUCAGAAGCAACAAACUGCAGAAAACAGGGCAAAGUUGCCCCAAAAGUACACUGUACUGCUCCAAAAUUUGCUCCCAAGAGCAGAAAACGAGACAAAACUGACCCCAGACUGCUCCUAAGAGCAUCAAACUGCCCCAAAAACUGCCCCCAGAAGCAUCAGACUGCACUGAAUGGGACAGUUCUGCCCCAAAAGUGCAUCCAACUGCUCCAAAAUUGCUCCCAGGAGCAGAAAAUGGGAUGAGCUGCACAAGACUCGUCAUUUGGGGACAUCAACUCUAAAAACUGCCCCUCAGAAGCAUCAAAGUGCAGAAAACAGGGCAAAACUGCCCCCUAAAGUACAUCAAACUGCUCCAAAAUUGCUCCUAAGAGCAGAAAAUGGGACAAAACUACACGAGAUUGUCCCCAAACGACCCCAAAACCAUCCCAAAAAAAGCAAAACGGACAAAACAACUCCCCAGAAAGCAUUAAAAUGGACAGAAAGACCCCAAAACUGCCCCCCUCCCCACCCCAAAGCAUCGAACUGCCCCAAAAUCACCCCCAAAAACUACAGAACUGCCUUAAAAUGCACCCCUUCCCCCCCCCCCCCAUUGUCACCUAUGGCU
Molecule: long non-coding RNA, 1128 nt
Filed under: Chrysolophus pictus (golden pheasant)
Lineage: Eukaryota; Metazoa; Chordata; Aves; Galliformes; Phasianidae
Description: lncRNA (ENSCPIG00010001681.1)
Source: RNAcentral